RNAcentral lists this ribosomal RNA (454 nucleotides) under uncultured bacterium. RNAcentral's name for it is "partial 16S ribosomal RNA". It matches the Rfam family "Bacterial small subunit ribosomal RNA", at positions 28 to 507 of the family's 1533-position model. The record is from RNAcentral.
GAUGAACGCUGACAGAAUGCUUAACGCAUGCAAGUCGACUUGAACUUCGGUUUGGGUGGCGGACGGGUGAGUAACGCGUAAAGAACUUGCCUCACAGCUAGGGACAACAUUUGGAAACGAAUGCUAAUACCUGAUAUUAUGAUUUUAGGGCAUCCUAGAAUUAUGAAAGCUAUAUGCGCUGUGAGAGAGCUUUGCGUCCCAUUAGCUAGUUGGAGAGGUAACGGCUCACCAAGGCGAGGAUGGGUAGCCGGCCUGAGAGGGUGAACGGCCACAAGGGGACUGAGACACGGCCCUUACUCCUACGGGAGGCAGCAGUGGGGAAUAUUGGACAAUGGACCAAGAGUCUGAUCCAGCAAUUCUGUGUGCACGAUGAAGUUUUUCGGAAUGUAAAGUGCUUUCAGUUGGGAAGAAAAAAAUGACGGUACCAACAGAAGAAGUGACGGCUAAAUACGUG